AAUACGUUAAGGGACUAUGUUUUAUUAAGUUCUAAAUAAUAAGCUGAUAAUGACAAUUUAUUAUUUAAAAGUCUUGACAAAAUCUUGUGCCAGCAGUCGCGGCAAUACAAGUAAGACUAGUGUUAUUCAUCUUUAUUAGGUUUAAAAGGUACCUAGAUUGCAAUUUUAGCCUUAUUAGGGGACGAAAUAUGCUAGAGUUUUAUGAAAGAGGUAAAUGUUAGAGCUGCUUGUGUAGGGAUGAAAUAAUUUGAUACAGGCAGAAAUGAUGACGGUAAAUACAGACCUUUAUGUAAAAACUGACAUUGAGGGACGAAGGCCUGGGUAGCAAAUAGGAUUAGACACCCUAGUAGUCCAGGCAGAAAAUUAUGAGUGUCAUAUGUUACAAUUAUGUAAUGUAUAAAUUAAAGUGUAAGCAUUCCACCUUAAGAGUAAUGCGGCAACGCAGGAACUGAAAUCAUUAGACCGUUUCUGAAACCAGUAGUGAAGUAUGUUAUUUAAUUCGAUGAUCCUCGAAUAACCUUACCACAAUUUGAAUGUAUUAACAUAACUAUUAUAGUUUAAUUUUUUAUGCUUAUAGUAUGUUAAUAUCACAGGCGUUGCACGGUUGUCUUUAGUUGAUGUCGU
RNAcentral lists this ribosomal RNA (624 nucleotides) under Peltaster sp. 65rap. Its description in RNAcentral is "SSU rRNA". It matches the Rfam family "Bacterial small subunit ribosomal RNA", at positions 402 to 1068 of the family's 1533-position model. Lineage: Eukaryota; Fungi; Ascomycota; Dothideomycetes. The record is from RNAcentral.